This 497-nucleotide ribosomal RNA is filed under the name uncultured bacterium. RNAcentral describes it as "partial 16S ribosomal RNA". It matches the Rfam family "Bacterial small subunit ribosomal RNA", at positions 28 to 507 of the family's 1533-position model. The record is from RNAcentral.
GACGAACGCUGGCGGCGUGCCUAAUACAUGCAAGUUGAGCGCUGAAGGUUGGUACUUGUACCAACUGGAUGAGCAGCGAACGGGUGAGUAACGCGUGGGGAAUCUGCCUUUGAGCGGGGGACAACAUUUGGAAACGAAUGCUAAUACCGCAUAAAAACUUUAAACACAAGUUUUAAGUUUGAAAGAUGCAAUUGCAUCACUCAAAGAUUAUCCCGCGUUGUAUUAGCUAGUUGGUGAGGUAAAGGCUCACCAAGGCGAUGAUACAUAGCCGACCUGAGAGGGUGAUCGGCCACAUUGGGACUGAGACACGGCCCAAACUCCUACGGGAGGCAGCAGUAGGGAAUCUUCGGCAAUGGACGAAAGUCUGACCGAGCAACGCCGCGUGAGUGAAGAAGGUUUUCGGAUCGUAAAACUCUGUUGGUAGAGAAGAACGUUAGUGAGAGUGGAAAGCUCAUCAAGUGACGGUAACUACCCAGAAAGGGACGGCUAACUACGUG